RNAcentral lists this unclassified non-coding RNA (337 nucleotides) under uncultured Phialocephala. RNAcentral describes it as "sequence contains ITS1". The stretch from base 1 to 104 matches the Rfam family "5.8S ribosomal RNA", at positions 50 to 154 of the family's 154-position model. The record is from RNAcentral. Lineage: Eukaryota; Fungi; Ascomycota; Leotiomycetes; Helotiales.
GAAUUGCGAUAAGUAAUGUGAAUUGCAGAAUUCGUGAGUCAUCGAAUCCUUGAACGCACAUGGCGCCUGGGGGCCAUCUCCCAGGCACGCCUGUUUGAGUGUCGUUUUUUUCCUCAAUCACCGUGCCUCAACUACGGUGGAUGUUGAGUAUUGGUCUCCCUAGCCAGAGGCCAUUACUUAAAAUGCAGUUCCGGUCUUACCAUAGCAAGUGACCUGAGCGGGAUUGCUAUGAACUCCAUACAUCCUACAAGGGACCACUGCCAAUGAGUAGUGACUGGUGCAAGGAUGUGAUACCCAAAGCGACCUCAAAUCAGGCGAGACCACCCGCUGAACUUAA